This 434-nucleotide long non-coding RNA is filed under the name Marmota monax (woodchuck). Lineage: Eukaryota; Metazoa; Chordata; Mammalia; Rodentia; Sciuridae. The record is from RNAcentral.
UUCCCAUUCUUGUGGUUGUAUGUAUAUGAACAUAGGAAAGUUAUAUCUGAUUCAUUCCAUUGUCUUUCCUAGUCCCAUCUCCCUUUCCUUUUCUUCAUUCCCCUUUGUCUAGUCCAGUGAACUUCUUCUCAGCUUAAUACUCUUAUUGUGGCCCCAAAUAACAACCUCUUGGUAUGGGAAAUUGUUAAGAAAUAUCAUCAUUUAAAGAUCAAUGAGGAUAGUUUGUGGAUUUUGAGUGCAGUCCAACAAGUAUGGGCUGAUUUGGUGGAGAGUACCAGUUGCACACUUGCAAAUGAAAACUCACUUUGCUACUAAAAGUUUAAUCCUUAGUAUAAUGAAAUUCAGCCCCCAAUGUUUUAAAUAACGGGUGUUGUUUUUUUCAGAAUCUCAGUUUUACAAAACCCUUCAGUGGCUACUAGGAGAAGGUNAAGUUU